UCNNNNNNNNNNNNNNNNNNNNGACGAAAAAUGAAUACCAAGUCUCAAGAGUGAACACGUAAUUCAUUACGAAGUUUAAUUCAUUGAGCAUCAAACUUUUAAAUUGAAGAGUUUGAUCAUGGCUCAGAUUGAACGCUGGCGGCAGGCCUAACACAUGCAAGUCGAACGGUAACAGGAAGCAGCUUGCUGCUUUGCUGACGAGUGGCGGACGGGUGAGUAAUGUCUGGGAAACUGCCUGAUGGAGGGGGAUAACUACUGGAAACGGUGGCUAAUACCGCAUAACGUCGCAAGACCAAAGAGGGGGACCUUCGGGCCUCUUGCCAUCAGAUGUGCCCAGAUGGGAUUAGCUUGUUGGUGAGGUAACGGCUCACCAAGGCGACGAUCCCUAGCUGGUCUGAGAGGAUGACCAGCCACACUGGAACUGAGACACGGUCCAGACUCCUACGGGAGGCAGCAGUGGGGAAUAUUGCACAAUGGGCGCAAGCCUGAUGCAGCCAUGCCGCGUGUAUGAAGAAGGCCUUCGGGUUGUAAAGUACUUUCAGCGGGGAGGAAGGUGUUGUGGUUAAUAACCGCAGCAAUUGACGUUACCCGCAGAAGAAGCACCGGCUAACUCCGUGCCAGCAGCCGCGGUAAUACGGAGGGUGCAAGCGUUAAUCGGAAUUACUGGGCGUAAAGCGCACGCAGGCGGUCUGUCAAGUCGGAUGUGAAAUCCCCGGGCUCAACCUGGGAACUGCAUUCGAAACUGGCAGGCUUGAGUCUUGUAGAGGGGGGUAGAAUUCCAGGUGUAGCGGUGAAAUGCGUAGAGAUCUGGAGGAAUACCGGUGGCGAAGGCGGCCCCCUGGACAAAGACUGACGCUCAGGUGCGAAAGCGUGGGGAGCAAACAGGAUUAGAUACCCUGGUAGUCCACGCCGUAAACGAUGUCUACUUGGAGGUUGUGCCCUUGAGGCGUGGCUUCCGGAGCUAACGCGUUAAGUAGACCGCCUGGGGAGUACGGCCGCAAGGUUAAAACUCAAAUGAAUUGACGGGGGCCCGCACAAGCGGUGGAGCAUGUGGUUUAAUUCGAUGCAACGCGAAGAACCUUACCUGGUCUUGACAUCCACGGAAGUUUUCAGAGAUGAGAAUGUGCCUUCGGGAACCGUGAGACAGGUGCUGCAUGGCUGUCGUCAGCUCGUGUUGUGAAAUGUUGGGUUAAGUCCCGCAACGAGCGCAACCCUUAUCCUUUGUUGCCAGCGGUCCGGCCGGGAACUCAAAGGAGACUGCCAGUGAUAAACUGGAGGAAGGUGGGGAUGACGUCAAGUCAUCAUGGCCCUUACGACCAGGGCUACACACGUGCUACAAUGGCGCAUACAAAGAGAAGCGACCUCGCGAGAGCAAGCGGACCUCAUAAAGUGCGUCGUAGUCCGGAUUGGAGUCUGCAACUCGACUCCAUGAAGUCGGAAUCGCUAGUAAUCGUGGAUCAGAAUGCCACGGUGAAUACGUUCCCGGGCCUUGUACACACCGCNNNNNNNNNNNNNNNNNNNNCGUCACACCAUGGGAGUGGGUUGCAAAAGAAGUAGGUAGCUUAACCUUCGGGAGGGCGCUUACCACUUUGUGAUUCAUGACUGGGGUGAAGUCGUAACAAGGUAACCGUAGGGGAACCUGCGGUUGGAUCACCUCCUUACCUUAAAGAAGCGUACUUUGCAGUGCUCACACAGAUUGUCUGAUGAAAA
RNAcentral lists this ribosomal RNA (1710 nucleotides) under Salmonella enterica subsp. enterica serovar Paratyphi A. RNAcentral's name for it is "bacterial SSU rRNA". It matches the Rfam family "Bacterial small subunit ribosomal RNA". Lineage: Bacteria; Pseudomonadati; Pseudomonadota; Gammaproteobacteria; Enterobacterales; Enterobacteriaceae. The record is from RNAcentral.